Molecule: ribosomal RNA, 301 nt
Filed under: uncultured bacterium
Lineage: Bacteria
Description: partial 16S ribosomal RNA
Rfam family: Bacterial small subunit ribosomal RNA
Source: RNAcentral
CAGUCGCCACGGUAAUACGAAGGGGGCUAGCGUUGUUCGGAAUCACUGGGCGUAAAGCGCACGUAGGCGGAUGAUUAAGUCAGGGGUGAAAUCCCGAGGCUCAACCUCGGAACUGCCUUUGAUACUGGUUAUCUUGAGUCCGGGAGAGGUGAGUGGAACUGCGAGUGUAGAGGUGAAAUUCGUAGAUAUUCGCAAGAACACCAGUGGCGAAGGCGGCUCACUGGCCCGGAACUGACGCUGAGGUGCGAAAGCGUGGGGAGCAAACAGGAUUAGAUACCCCCGUAGUCCCUGUCUCUUAUAC